This 393-nucleotide unclassified non-coding RNA is filed under the name Bombus terrestris (buff-tailed bumblebee). Its description in RNAcentral is "misc RNA ENSBTSG00005026822.1". Lineage: Eukaryota; Metazoa; Arthropoda; Insecta; Hymenoptera; Apidae. The record is from RNAcentral.
UUUAAUCGUUCUCUCGCGCUCAUUCUAUGAUAAACUCGCGUAAAACACUACAAUUCCAUUUUAAAAGUAUAUCCUUUUAACCACAGUGUGGAAAUUCCCCCACCAUUUGUGAGAUAUGUUAAUGAUAAAGAGCAAUGUGCAUCUGUGUGUCAUUCCGAUGUCUGAUAUUUCUUCUAAAACAUUGUGUGUUUCUACAGCUUCUGCUCGUAAAAUAACUUCAAGCGAGCGUGGAAUGCAGCCUCUAGGAAGUUCUGCUUGUGUCUCUUGUACUCUGAUUUUUUGGAAAUCAACGAAUAUGGAAUUAUCUACAUCUAGCAGGAAACGUCUCCUAUUAUUACAUACUGGAUUAUGACAAAUUGUUGGAUUGCAGAACUGUAAAUAAUUACCCAAAUU